RNAcentral lists this ribosomal RNA (774 nucleotides) under uncultured Neocallimastigales. RNAcentral's name for it is "partial large subunit ribosomal RNA". It matches the Rfam family "Eukaryotic large subunit ribosomal RNA", at positions 24 to 649 of the family's 3401-position model. The record is from RNAcentral. Lineage: Eukaryota; Fungi; Neocallimastigomycota; Neocallimastigomycetes; Neocallimastigales.
UAUGUGAUCGUCUCUCGCAUAUCAAUAAGCGGAGGAAAAGAAACUAACAAGGAUUCCCCUAGUAACGGCGAGUGAAGCGGGAAGAGCUCAAAUUUGAAAUCUUAAAGGGUUUCCCUUUACGAAUUGUAGUUUAAAGAAGUGUUUUCUGUUGAGGUUUUGGUAAAAGUUCUUUGGAAUAGGACAUCAUAGAGGGUGAGAAUCCCGUAUUUGACCUUUACUUUCAACUUUGUGAUACACUUUCAAAGAGUCGGAUUGUUUGGGAAUGCAGUCCAAAAUGGGUGGUAAAUUUCAUCUAAAGCUAAAUAUUGGCGAGAGACCGAUAGCGAACAAGUACCGUGAGGGAAAGAUGAAAAGAACUUUGAAAAGAGAGUUAAACAGUACGCGAAAUUGUCAAAAGGGAAGCGUUUGACACCAGUGUUGUUUUUCUGAAAAUCAAUUAAAGAACUGUUUAUGCUAAGUUGUUUAGACUUUAUCAGCUAUCUGUUUAGUUUUGAGCUUUUCUUUAAUGCACUUUUCAGUUAACAAGUCAACAUCAAUUUCUUUUGCUGUAAAAAAGCUUGAGGAAGGUGGCUUGAGAUUCGUCUUAAGUGUUUAUAGCCUCUUGCCUAUGCAGUCGGAGAGAUUGAGGUCUGCAGCGUAGAUCCUUCGGGGCUAAAUGCAUUUGUGCUAAGUUAUAGCAUUUUAUAGACAACUUGUUGACUAUGAUUUGUCUUGUAGCUUACUCGCUUAUGUUAUUUUACCUACGCUUAGGAUGUUGAGUAGCGACAUACGCAC